RNAcentral lists this ribosomal RNA (440 nucleotides) under uncultured bacterium. Its description in RNAcentral is "partial 16S ribosomal RNA". It matches the Rfam family "Bacterial small subunit ribosomal RNA", at positions 338 to 795 of the family's 1533-position model. The record is from RNAcentral.
CCUACGGGAGGCAGCAGUGGGGAAUAUUGCACAAUGGGGGAAACCCUGAUGCAGCGACGCCGCGUGAGUGAAGAAGUAAUUCGUUAUGUAAAGCUCUAUCAGCAGGGAAGAAAAUGACGGUACCUGAGUAAGAAGCCCCGGAUAACUACGUGCCAGCAGCCGCGGUAAUACGUAGGGGGCAAGCGUUCUCCGGAUUUACUGGGAGGAAAGGGAGCGUAGACGGCAGUGCAAGUCUGGAGUGAAAGGCGGGGGCUCAACCCCCGGACUGCUCUGGAAACUGUACGGCUGGAGUGCAGGAGAGGUAAGUGGAAUUCCUAGUGUAGCGGUGAAAUGCGUAGAUAUUAGGAGGAACACCAGUGGCGAAGGCGGCUUACUGGACUGUAACUGACGUUGAGGCUCGAAAGCGUGGGGAGCAAACAGGAUUAGAUACCCCAGUAGUC